GAGUUUGAUCAUGGCUCAGAACGAACGCUGGCGGCGUGCCUAACACAUGCAAGUCGUACGAGAAAGUUCGCUUCGGCGGAUGAGUAAAGUGGCGCACGGGUGAGUAACGCGUGGAUAAUCUGCCCUUUAGUUUAGGAUAACUCACCGAAAGGUGAACUAAUACUGAAUAAUACUGUUUCUGCUAAGGUGGAUUAGUUAAAGAGGACCUCUGUUUACAAGUUCUUGCUAAAGGAUGAGUCCGCGUACCAUUAGCUAGUUGGUAGGGUAAUGGCCUACCAAGGCGACGAUGGUUAGCUGGUCCGAGAGGGAUUUUGCGCAAUGGGGGAAACUCUGACGCAGCAACGCCGCGUGAGUGAGGAAGGCCUUCGGGUCGUAAAGCUCUGUCAGAUGGGAAGAAAUGCGGGGGUGUUAAUAGCUUUCCCGCUUGACGGUACCAUCAAAGGAAGCACCGGCUAACUCCGUGCCAGCAGCCGCGGUAAUACGC
RNAcentral lists this ribosomal RNA (484 nucleotides) under uncultured delta proteobacterium. RNAcentral's name for it is "bacterial SSU rRNA". It matches the Rfam family "Bacterial small subunit ribosomal RNA", at positions 9 to 528 of the family's 1533-position model. Lineage: Bacteria; Deltaproteobacteria. The record is from RNAcentral.